UCUGGUGGCGAUGCGCUUAGGGGUAACACCCGUUCCCAUCCCGAACACGAUGGUUAAGACCUAAGCGGCCGAUGGUACUUUACUGGAGACGGUACGGGAGAGUAGGUGGCUGCCGGGC
Molecule: ribosomal RNA, 118 nt
Filed under: Dorea formicigenerans
Lineage: Bacteria; Bacillati; Bacillota; Clostridia; Lachnospirales; Lachnospiraceae
Source: RNAcentral